RNAcentral lists this ribosomal RNA (382 nucleotides) under uncultured bacterium. RNAcentral's name for it is "bacterial SSU rRNA". It matches the Rfam family "Bacterial small subunit ribosomal RNA", at positions 30 to 414 of the family's 1533-position model. The record is from RNAcentral.
AUUGAACGCUGGCGGCAUGCCUUACACAUGCAAGUCGAACGGCAGCACGGGAGCAAUCCUGGUGGCGAGUGGCGAACGGGUGAGUAAUAUAUCGGAACGUGCCCAGUCUGGGGGAUAACGUAGCGAAAGCUACGCUAAUACCGCAUACGAUCUAUGGAUGAAAGCGGGGGAUCGCAAGACCUCGCGCGAUUGGAGCGGCCGAUAUCAGAUUAGGUAGUUGGUGAGGUAAAGGCUCACCAAGCCGACGAUCUGUAGCUGGUCUGAGAGGACGACCAGCCACACUGGGACUGAGACACGGCCCAGACUCCUACGGGAGGCAGCAGUGGGGAAUUUUGGACAAUGGCGCAAGCCUGAUCCAGCAAUGCCGCGUGCAGGAUGAAGG